Molecule: long non-coding RNA, 731 nt
Organism: Alosa alosa (allis shad)
Lineage: Eukaryota; Metazoa; Chordata; Actinopteri; Clupeiformes; Clupeidae
Exons: 3
Source: RefSeq, a predicted model, not a curated record
UCAACUCCCCGACACACACACACCACACACACAGCCCCCACACUCACACACCACCCCCGCUGCACACACACACACCCGACCGGACCCCCCCGCCCGGCCGCCACCCUUCUGCCUGGUCAGAGCCAAUCAGAAGAGAGAGGUGAGAGCCAAUCAGAAGAGAGCAGAGUGGACUACAAGCGAAAUCAAAGCCCCUUCAGGCCCAGAAAAGCGAGCUGGCGCCACCUAGUGGCUUUGACUCCCCUCUGCUGCCCAGAGAGCCAGCCGGUGCAAGGACCCAGAAAGAUGUAACAAAGCAGAGCUGAGCAACAGUCUUGCCAAGCUGAGGAACACGUGUGUGUGUGUGUGCAGAGGAACACAAGCAUGUGUGUGUGUGUGUGUGUGCGGAGGAACAUGCGCUGUGUGUGUGUGUGUACAGAGGAAUACAAGCUGUGUGUGUGUGUGCAUGUGUGUUUUGCCGGACAGAUUAAAUAAAUUUUAGAAUGUUUGAUUAGAACAAUUGUGAAUGAGUUUAUGUAUGCGUUGUGCGUGUGUGUGAGGAGUGUGUGUGUAUGUAUGUGGUGUGCAUGGGUGUGGGUUUACAGCAGCUUAGCAUACAAUGUGACUCGACUCUGAUGACACAACAUGACUGCUGCUUUAGCAAAAGUCCAUUACACUAGGCGUGUUCGUCUUCAUGCAGAUCUGUGCAGAUCUGACUUGAUGUGAUGCAUGCUGGGUUGAACACAUUGGAGCUC